RNAcentral lists this ribosomal RNA (1332 nucleotides) under metagenome. Its description in RNAcentral is "bacterial LSU rRNA". It matches the Rfam family "Bacterial large subunit ribosomal RNA", at positions 1570 to 2910 of the family's 2925-position model. The record is from RNAcentral.
CGAGCUGCUACGGCAGCGAAGUGGGUGAUGUCAAGCUUCCAAGAAAAGCCCUAUACCCGUUAAGGCAUGAUGGCCUGUACCCGAAACCGACACAGGUAGGGUGGUAGAGAAUACCGAGGGGCGCGAGGUAACUCUCUCUAAGGAACUCGGCAAAAUGGCCCCGUAACUUCGGGAUAAGGGGUGCCACCGCAAGGUGGUCGCAGUGAAGAGGCCCAGGCGACUGUUUACCAAAAACACAGGUCUCCGCUAAGUCGCAAGACGAGGUAUGGGGGCUGACGCCUGCCCAGUGCCGGAAGGUUAAGGAAGCUGGUCAGCGUAAGCGAAGCUAGCGACUGAAGCCCCGGUGAACGGCGGCCGUAACAAUAACGGUCCUAAGGUAGCGAAAUUCCUUGUCGGGUAUGUUCCGACCCGCACGAAAGGCGUAACGAUCUGGGCGCUGUCUCGGAGAGAGGCUCGGCGAAAUAGAAUUGUCUGUGAAGAUGCGGACUACGUGCACCCGGACAGAAAGACCCUAUGAAGCUUUACUGUAGCUUGGUAUUGUGCCCGGGCUCGCAAUGCGCAGGAUAGGUGGGAGGCUUUGAUUAUCGGCUUGCGGGUCGAUGUGAGCCAACGGUGAGAUACCACUCUUUGCGAGCUAGGGUUCUAACGGUCACCCGUUAUCCGGGGACCGGACAGUAUCAGGUGGGCAGUUUGACUGGGGCGGUCGCCUCCUAAAAGGUAACGGAGGCGCGCAAAGGUUUGCUCAGGCUGGUUGGAAAUCAGCCGACGAGUGUAAAAGCAGAAGCAAGCUUGACUGUGAGACCAACAAGUCGAACAGGGACGAAAGUCGGCUUUAGUGAUCCGACGGUUCUGAGUGGAAGGGCCGUCGCUCAACGGAUAAAAGUUACUCUAGGGAUAACAAGCUGAUCUCCCCCAAGAGUUCACAUCGACGGGGAGGUUUGGCACCUCGAUGUCGGCUCAUCGCAACCUGGGGCUGAAGUCGGUCCCAAGGGUUGGGCUGUUCGCCCAUUAAAGCGGUACUCGAGCUGGGUUCAGAACGUCGUGAGACAGUUCGGUCCAUAUCCGGUGCACGCGCAGGAACAUUGAGAGGAUUUCUCCCUAGUACGAGAGGACCGGGAGGAACGCACCUCUGGUGUACCAGUUAUCGUGCCAACGGUAAACGCUGGGUAGCCAUGUGCGGAGUGGAUAACCGCUGAAAGCAUCUAAGUGGGAAGCCCACCUCAAGAUGAGUGUUCCCAUGGCGUUAGCCAGUAAGGUCACGGGAAGAACACCCGUUGAUAGGCUCUACGUGGAAGCGCAGUAAUGCGUGAAGCGGAGGAGUACUAAUAGACC